CGGCUAGAAGAGCAUGACAUAUCCUGUGUGUCGAUAUUUGCUCCUCGGACCCUGCAAAUUUAUGAUGAGACACGCAACUCUCACAGGCCGUACCAAUAUCCGCAGCUGGUCUCAAGUGAAGAGUCUCUAGUCGAUAGAAUAAUGUAGGUAAGGGAAGUCGGCAAAUUAGAUCCGUAACUUCGGGAUAAGGAUUGGCUCUGAAGAUUGAGAUAGUCGGGCUUGAUUGGGAAACAAUAACAUGGUUUAUGUGCUCGUUCUGGGUAAAUAGAGUUUCUAGCAUUUAUGUUAGUUACUUGUUCCCCGGAUAGUUUAGUUACGUAGCCAAUUGUGGAACUUUCUUGCUAAAAUUUUUAAGAAUACUAUUUGGGUUAAACCAAUUAGUUCUUAUCAAUUAUAACGAUUAUCAAUUAACAAUCAAUUCAGAACUGGCACGGACUUGGGGAAUCCGACUGUCUAAUUAAAACAAAGCAUUGUGAUGGCCCUAGCGGGUGUUGACACAAUGUGAUUUCUGCCCAGUGCUCUGAAUGUCAAAGUGAAGAAAUUCAAGUAAGCGCGGGUCAACGGCGGGAGUAACUAUGACUCUCUUAAGGUUUGAUUGAUAGCGAAGGGUCUCCUCAGCAAAUAUGAUAGUCAUAUCAUUAGCGUCCAGGUUAUGAGAGGCAGUCUCGGUUGUUUUAAACAGUUCAUGUACCUGAGCGGGUUUUCCCGAGAUUGGACUUAGCUAAAACGUUUGGUUCAAAACAUUUGCUUGCUGUCUUGGCAUAACAUCAAUAAAGGCAUAAACAUCGCAAAUAAUGGUAAUAUAUAAAUUGGCUAUGAGGAUGGUUUUAGUACGUAGGCGUUGCGGAACUUCGGUUCAGAUAGAGCAAUGAAUCGUGCAUGCUAGGAAACUGAAGUGUUGACAGACCUAGUAUCUUUCGAUAGAUUUCCAUACCUCCGCGAUCAAAAAAAAAAAAAAAAAAAAAAAUAGCCAAAUGCCUCGUCAUCUAAUUAGUGACGCGCAUGAAUGGAUUAACGAGAUUCCUACUGUCCCUAUCUACUAUCUAGCGAAACCACAGCCAAGGGAACGGGCUUGGAAUAAUUAGCGGGGAAAGAAGACCCUUUUGAGCUUGACUCUAAUCUGGCAGUGUAAGGAGACAUAAGAGGUGUAGAAUAAGUGGGAGAUAUUAGACCUCGGUUUGGUAUCGUCAAUGAAAUACCACUACUCUUAUUGUUUCCUUACUUACUUGAUUAAAUGGAACGUGUAUCAUUUCCUAGCCAUUAUACGGAUAUAUUUAUUAUAUCUUAUGGUAUUGGGUUUUGAUGCAAGCUUCUUGAUCAAAGUAUCACGAGUUUGUUAUAUAAUCGCAAACAAAUUCUUUAAUAAAACGAUGCAUUUAUGUAUUUUUGAUUUGAAAAUUUGGUAUAACUCCAAUUACUCAGGUAUGAUCCAAUUCAAGGACAUUGCCAGGUAGGGAGUUUGACUGGGGCGGUCACUCUCUACUCGAAAUAAUAACGGAGGUGUCCCAAGGCCAGCUCAGUGCGGAA
RNAcentral lists this non-coding RNA (1527 nucleotides) under Drosophila sechellia. Its description in RNAcentral is "Eukaryotic large subunit ribosomal RNA". It matches the Rfam family "Eukaryotic large subunit ribosomal RNA", at positions 1752 to 2684 of the family's 3401-position model. The record is from Rfam by way of RNAcentral. Lineage: Eukaryota; Metazoa; Arthropoda; Insecta; Diptera; Drosophilidae.